GGCACUUCAUUUCUAGACUGCUGGGAGGAAAUAAAAAGAGGGGUGAAUGAAAGUGAAGAAGGGAUUGAAAUGAUACAAUCAGUAGCGUUCAUUCUUCGGUAGCUUUGGAAGAACUGAAAUUUAGUCUCUUUUCAGAAUCAAAGUUUAUCUUUUUCAGCAAGUGUUAGCAGCUGCAGCCCACCAUCAAGAAGUCUUUUUGUUAGAACAGGAAGACUUUUUGUCAGUCCAAGAAGAAAGACCACAAUAUCAGAUUGCAAUAGCAGCACUUGUCUCCUCCUCCUAUAGGUAGGAUCAAGCACAACUUCGACGCAGCAGUUAAGAGUCAGAGUAAGACAUGUACAACCAGUGUGAUUGCCAGAGAC
This 362-nucleotide unclassified non-coding RNA is filed under the name Hevea brasiliensis (rubber tree). Lineage: Eukaryota; Viridiplantae; Streptophyta; Magnoliopsida; Malpighiales; Euphorbiaceae. The record is from RNAcentral.